UGCAAAUCAGUUGUGUUCGCAACCUGCAUCAAAAAACUGUAGCUCAGAGACGAUGUGCAUAACAGCAACUUUACUUGGAACGCCACUAAUCUACAAAGCCUGUGCAUCAUCCUCUCUGUGUCCGGCCACAGGAAGUAUGACUGCUUCAGUCAAUUUGGGUUCCCAAAGUGCAACUGCAUCUGCUGAGUGCUGCAGCACCGAUGACUGCAACUCACAAACUCUACCUCGUAGGUUUUGUCAGUAAAAAAAUUUGAUCCUCCCUUUUUAAUUUAGAAUUCAAUAAGGUUUCUCUUCCAUUGUGCUGCUUUUAUUUCAGCACCCCCUACUCAGUCACCUAAGAUCCUGCAGUGCAUUGCUUGUGAUUCCACCAUCUCAGAGUGCAACACUAUAAUAACAUGUUCAGUACAUGAGACAAACUGCUUCAAAGCAACUGCUACAAAUGGAAACACAAGAACUCUGAUACUAGGCUGUGUAACCCCAAAUAUAUGUUCAAGUCUGGGUAGUUUACCGUUCAUGCCUAUUAUUGGUUCAUUCACCAGCGAACCGACCUGUUGUGCAACUAAUUUGUGCAAUGAUCCAAGAACAACAUCUACUACAACCACAACUGCAACGACCCCUACAACCAUAAAUACACCGGCCACUACAACUGCAACGACCCCUACAACCAUAAAUAC
Fundulus heteroclitus (mummichog) is the source of this 674-nucleotide long non-coding RNA. RefSeq lists it as uncharacterized. The record is from RefSeq and is a predicted model, not a curated record. The transcript is spliced from 3 exons. NCBI's taxonomy places the organism in Eukaryota, Metazoa, Chordata, Actinopteri, Cyprinodontiformes, Fundulidae.